UUGUGAUUAUCACUUGUGCAUUAUAAUGUCUCCUGCGUACUUGGCUGACCUCCGUUGUGAUUGGCAGCCAUAGCUGAAAUUCGGUUAGGAAGGAAUCAAUUAAUCAUUAAAAAAAUAGUAAACUGUUACAAGUUUUUUUUAAUGAUUAAUACAAUUACUAUACUGACGUUUACAGGACCGUUUAAACUAAUAUUAGCUUAAAGAUACGAACACACUUGGAAAUUACGAUAUAAUCCCAUUAUACACUGUCACAAGUUGAAAUCCGAUGGACAUAGCCUGUAUUCCAAACGCAUUUUCUAAAACAAACUUCACUACAGAAUCUAAAAAUUCUACUACUUUUUUACUAUUCGCAAUAAGCAUCUCCAUAAACCUCGUUCCAGCCCUAUUCGCAAAGUUUUCCGUUGUGGGAUCGGAGUCUGUCGUUUGUGAUCCGUCAUAAUCAAUAAUAACGUAACUUAUUGCUGCUCUGCGGAUUAUCCCACAUUCUAUUACGUAUAGUAAAUCUGCCUGAAUAUAUCCUCUCUUAAGUAGCAAUUGCAGUUUCCAGUAACAUGUUCGUUGAAAAUCUAUCUGAAUUUAUUAAUGAUUCUAAAUAUUAUAAACAUUUUUCCAUUGCUGUUGGUUCCGGGGCGAAUUUUGGUGGGCACAGAACAGUGUCCUUUUAAUCUUAGGGCAUUUGGUGAUUUUUUGAAGUUAUAGCUAUUUUAAAAGUCUAAUCUAGGAGUUGGAGAGUAUACCAGUUAUUUGACAGCAUUCAUCGAAAGUUCGCGCUUCAAAUGUUUCCUAGACAGGGACGUUAUUUUAGUGGUUACUAGCCAUGAGCCUGAUGCAACUCCUAUUUUUACCAUUCUAGUCAUUUUUGGAGGAGUUCGAUUUCUAAUAUUCUUUUCCGAGUUCUCACCUCACAUGUGGAAUUAUUGUGCAAAUCAUGAUCUGAAAACAAUGGUUGACGUUAUGCGCUAUUAGUCUCUUUUGGAAAUUAUAAAAUGAAAAACAAAACAUGUUUAAAGAAUAUAAUAAAAUAUUCCGUAAGUACUUACUAAAAACUAAAUAAGUUUCUAACGUUUUCCAUAAUGUUUUGGGCAUAGCAACUAUUUCACGGAUGCGGGGUGCUUGACCUCUGAUUUUAUUAACUAAGUCCAGGAUCAACUCAAAUAUUAUGACUGAGUUUCUAAUAUUUCUUUAGGGCCUUCUACAACCCAAUUAGCGGGGUUUAUGAACUCCAAAUAACGGUCAAGUAGAUGUUACGGAAACCUAAAAGUCUCAUGUUUAUACGAGAAAAUUAGGAAGGCCUCAGUAUAGUAUUAGCUCGCUCCUAACUUCUUGAAGAGGUAAGCUAACAGUGUCGUAUCCAUAUGCCAUAUUUUAUUCCGUUUAUUAAUGGGACAUUUAGCACACAUAUUACCAUGUCGAACUAUAUUCUUGUUCUUUCUUCGGCUUCGUCUUCACAGAGUAAUAGAUGCAUGACGAUUAAAAAAGAGCUUAUGAGAGACUGUUUGAACGAAGAAAAUGUUGAGUUUCAAUUUCGAAUUAUUAUUAUAUUAAAGUACACACACGCUUUUUAUCCCCGAAGGGGUAGGCAGAAGCGCAACUGGUGUACCCACUAUUCGCCGUGUGUAUUCCGUCCCAUAAUGUUAUAGGAGCCAAGGUUAUCGCUAUAUCGGGCAUUCAUACAAUAUUCCGGUCUGAUAAUGAGUUGAAAAACCCAAUAUCACUUUGCUUGACGACCAAAGAAACCGAGACCUCAGCAGUCUACACAGUAUAUUAGUCGAGAGUCUAAAAUUUGUGUUCAAUAUGGCGAUAGGCUCGACCAAAUACAAAAAUCAUUAUAAUCCGUGCUCCCAAAUAAAUGGUAAUAAAGUCAGUAUUACAUUAGCUGUUUUUCAGGUUCCUUCUAUGUAACUAAGUCUUUAUUCCGUUGCGUGGGUAUUUUAAUAUUUAUAAGUACCUACGACUUAGCCUGGUACCACGAAGCAUAUUGCCUUUUAUCUAAAAUAUCUAGGUCAAUCUUUAAAAAACUUUUGAAAUAGUUCCAUGUUUGUUCCAUUAACUUUGUUUUUCCAGUGACUUGAGUGAAAUAUUUAAAAUUAAUUUUCAAAUUAAGUAGAUAAUUUUUAUCAAUUCAUUAUUAAAAAAUAUCAAAGAUGGCGUUUUAAUCGAGUUAUAUGGAUAAAGAUGGUUUAAAACAAAAUUAUUGGCAUUCCAAAACGGUUCUUGGUUUCUGAUUUUUUAAAAUACUCUCAGAAUUAUUUGGCUGAUAAUUCAAAGAGUAUUACUUUUUGAUAUUAUUUUUGUUUUAUUUUCUCUAUAUUUUCUACACACGUACACAAACACCGACAUGUUUAUAAUAAUAAUAAAUUAUUGUCUUUUAUGUACAAGUUGAUUAAAUAACCAUUGUUGUGUGUAUAUUUUAGUAUGUAUUCCAUUUGUGUAAGCGAAAUGACCCAGAUUGAUUUAUUUCUAUAUUAUGCAUUAACUCUGUUUAAAAACUUGCCUUGUGAGAAUCAUUUCAGAUGUUCUUCGUAGACGAACUACAAUGAAGACUCUUUUAAUAAAAGAUGACUUACCCAUCAGUUAAGAUCUAUAUACCAAGGCGGAGAUUUUGUCUCCCGAAAAGGAUUGCUAUUGAAACGAUCGAAAUCUGCUGCAGCCAGUGAACAGAGCUAGUCACAAAUCGUCAAAGCAAAAGCCAACUGACUUAAUGAAGAUUCUUUGAAGAUUACCAGGUAUAU
Molecule: long non-coding RNA, 2732 nt
Filed under: Manduca sexta (tobacco hornworm)
Lineage: Eukaryota; Metazoa; Arthropoda; Insecta; Lepidoptera; Sphingidae
Description: uncharacterized LOC115454296
Source: RNAcentral